GAAACAGCCAGGACACACAACCAUGUAACCAAGGAUGAAAACGUAGGAAAAUUUGUGGACUGUAUACACAAAUCAACCAGAAAUAUUUUGUGGUGGGCAAUGGUCAGAGGCCAGGGAGAUCUCUCACAGAUCCAGCAGCAAACUGGAUGAGGAGGCUUGGAGCUAGCGGUGUGUAUACAUGGAGUGCUGCUUAGUGCUCUUAGAUAGGGUAUGAGAUUUUGCAUAACCCUUGUUCUUUUCAACGAAGGCUGGCCAACAAUCACUGUUUUUUCCAUGGAUGUAACAUUUGUGGACAUAACUUGAAAACUAACAAAAAGCUGUCCUGAGCUCCAACACCUGCUUAAAAUUAAGCCAUUUUUCUCAAUUUUCCAUGGCAAAACCCACAAAUGUAAGAUGGACACAAAGCUUGUGCCAAGGCUCAUCACAAGAUCAGAAAGGAGAAAACAUCUUAACAUUGGCUUUAGAAGAUGUUGGUCUCUUGAAGACUGAUACAGACACAGAAGUUCUGUCUUUGGAAGAGAUUCUGUCUGGUGACACAACAUUGCCAUGGCAGCAAUCACACAUUGACAGUCUUCACGCAAAAACAAGGGCAAUCAAUGACAUCAUGAUAGUAAAGAGACUGGAAGAGGAAAAGAAGAUCCUUGUUGAUGGACCAUCAUUGGAAAUCUCUAUCAUCCUAUGAAGACACUCUAAAGGAGUUUCCCACCUGUUAUCGGGAGGGAAAUUUAAAAGUUUGUCCUGUGCCCUAACUGACGAAGGUCCAAGAGGUCUCCAGAGCAUCAUCCUCAGAGAGCUGCAGCACCA
This is a long non-coding RNA of Poecilia reticulata (guppy), 804 nucleotides long. RefSeq lists it as uncharacterized. The record is from RefSeq and is a predicted model, not a curated record. Lineage: Eukaryota; Metazoa; Chordata; Actinopteri; Cyprinodontiformes; Poeciliidae.